RNAcentral lists this ribosomal RNA (446 nucleotides) under uncultured bacterium. Its description in RNAcentral is "partial 16S ribosomal RNA". It matches the Rfam family "Bacterial small subunit ribosomal RNA", at positions 338 to 795 of the family's 1533-position model. The record is from RNAcentral.
CCUACGGGUGGCAGCAGUCGAGAAUCAUUCACAAUGGGGGAAACCCUGAUGGUGCGACGCCGCGUGGGGGAAUGAAGGUCUUCGGAUUGUAAACCCCUGUCAUGUGGGAGCAAAUUAAAAAGAUAGUACCACAAGAGGAAGAGACGGCUAACUCUGUGCCAGCAGCCGCGGUAAUACAGAGGUCUCAAGCGUUGUUCGGAAUCACUGGGCGUAAGGCGUGCAUAGGCUGUUUCGUAAGUCGUGUGUGAAUGGCGCGGGCUCAACCCGCGGACGGCACAUGAUACUGCGAGACUAGAGUAAUGGAGGGGGAACCGGAAUUCUCGGUGUAGCAGUGAAAUGCGUAGAUAUCGAGAGGAACACUCGUGGCGAAGGCGGGUUCCUGGACAUUAACUGACGCUGAGGCACGAAGGCCAGGGGAGCGAAAGGGAUUAGAUACCCGAGUAGUC